RNAcentral lists this ribosomal RNA (253 nucleotides) under uncultured bacterium. RNAcentral describes it as "partial 16S ribosomal RNA". It matches the Rfam family "Bacterial small subunit ribosomal RNA", at positions 524 to 776 of the family's 1533-position model. The record is from RNAcentral.
UACGUAGGGUGCAAGCGUUGUCCGGAAUUAUUGGGCGUAAAGAGCUCGUAGGCGGUCUGUCGCGUCGGCUGUGAAAACCCGGGGCUCAACCCCGGGCCUGCAGUCGAUACGGGCAGACUAGAGUGCGGUAGGGGAGACUGGAAUUCCUGGUGUAGCGGUGAAAUGCGCAGAUAUCAGGAGGAACACCGGUGGCGAAGGCGGGUCUCUGGGCCGUAACUGACGCUGAUGCACGAAAGCUGGGGGAGCAAACAGG